This 430-nucleotide ribosomal RNA is filed under the name Pseudomonadota bacterium. RNAcentral's name for it is "Proteobacteria bacterium partial 16S ribosomal RNA". It matches the Rfam family "Bacterial small subunit ribosomal RNA", at positions 355 to 776 of the family's 1533-position model. Lineage: Bacteria; Pseudomonadati; Pseudomonadota. The record is from RNAcentral.
UGGGGAUUAUUGGACAAUGGGGGGAACCCUGAUCCAGCCAUGCCGCGUGUGUGAAGAAGGCCUUAUGGUUGUAAAGCACUUUAAGCGAGGAGGAGGGUACUGGUAUUAAUACUACCAGCUACUGGACGUUACUCGCAGAAUAAGCACCGGCUAACUCUGUGCCAGCAGCCGCGGUAAUACAGAGGGUGCGAGCGUUAAUCGGAUUUACUGGGCGUAAAGCGUGCGUAGGCGGCUAAUUAAGUCGGAUGUGAAAUCCCCGAGCUUAACUUGGGAAUUGCAAUCGAGACUGGUUAGCUGGAGUGUGGGAGAGGAUGGUAGAAUUCCAGGUGUAGCGGUGAAAUGCGUAGAGAUCUGGAGGAAUACCGAUGGAGAAGGCAGCCAUCUGGCCUAACACUGACGCUAAGGUACGAAAGCAUGGGGAGCAAACAGG